CAGCCGCCGCGGUAAUACGGAGGGUGCAAGCGUUAAUCGGAAUUACUGGGCGUAAAGCGCACGCAGGCGGUCUGACAAGUCAGAUGUGAAAUCCCCGGGCUUAACCUGGGAACUGCAUUCGAAACUGUCAGGCUGGAGUCUUGUAGAGGGGGGUGGAAUUCCAGGUGUAGCGGUGAAAUGCGUAGAGAUCUGGAGGAAUACCGGUGGCGAAGGCGGCCCCCUGGACAAAGACUGACGCUCAGGUGCGAAAGCGUGGGGAGCAAACAGGAUUAGAUACCCCUGUAGUCCCUGUCUCUUAUAC
This 301-nucleotide ribosomal RNA is filed under the name uncultured bacterium. RNAcentral's name for it is "partial 16S ribosomal RNA". It matches the Rfam family "Bacterial small subunit ribosomal RNA", at positions 509 to 807 of the family's 1533-position model. The record is from RNAcentral.